Non-coding RNA from Podarcis lilfordi (Lilford's wall lizard), 98 nucleotides. NCBI's taxonomy places the organism in Eukaryota, Metazoa, Chordata, Lepidosauria, Squamata, Lacertidae. The record is from the annotation of a GenBank genome assembly.
GAAGGAAGAGAGAUAGCUCAAUGGUAAACCAUCUGCUUUGCAUGCAGAAGGUGCUGAUAAUGCCAAGGUCGCAGGUUCGAUCCCUGCAUAUUCCUGCA